RNAcentral lists this non-coding RNA (26 nucleotides) under Mus musculus (house mouse). Lineage: Eukaryota; Metazoa; Chordata; Mammalia; Rodentia; Muridae. The record is from RNAcentral.
GACAGUCGCUACUGGAGGAUAACAAA